This 82-nucleotide small nucleolar RNA is filed under the name Pogona vitticeps (central bearded dragon). RNAcentral's name for it is "Small nucleolar RNA SNORD24 (ENSPVIG00000000542.1)". It matches the Rfam family "Small nucleolar RNA SNORD24". From Rfam's summary of the family: U24 is a member of the C/D class of snoRNA which contain the C (UGAUGA) and D (CUGA) box motifs. C/D box snoRNAs have been shown to act as methylation guides for a number of RNA targets. The record is from RNAcentral. Lineage: Eukaryota; Metazoa; Chordata; Lepidosauria; Squamata; Agamidae.
UGCCAGAAUGAUGACAUAUAUUUGCUACUCUUGAUCAGUGAAAUGAUGAUAAUGCACAACCACCUUGUUUCAAACUGAGGCA